UAACUGACGUCGGAGCCCCAGCAACUGCUCCAGUCUCUGCUUCCAUGGGAUUGUAACUUUGGGCAGCAGUUGGGAAACCAAGAGAUACCAUCCCAGUAGGAUUCCCAAAAUGUUCCUGAAAUGGGGUCACUUCUGACCCUGUUGGGAUAGAUGUUUCCAAUUCCAAAUAAGAGCACUUAGGGUACAGCAAGUUAGUUAAAGAGGCACCUUCACAAGUGGCAUCUCUGGAAGAAGCUGCUUGGAGUCAAAAAUUGCAGAUGCGUGCUCAAGAUGAAGGCAAGCAGGAGGAUUCUUCCAAUCUGUUGCCUCAAUGUGAUUUGCCACAUUUUCUUCUUGACACUUACUAGGCUGACUGGAAAUACCAACAAUGUUGACAUCUCCAGGUUCUGUGGGCACAGAGGAACAUGCAUCCUUUAAAACAGGAAUAUCUAACUUGUUUGGCAUACCAACUCUGGAAACAAAGUAUGAUUCCACCCAUGUCAAACUCCAUGGCACAGUUGAAGCUGAGAAUGGGAAACCUGUCAUCAAUCCAUCUCUCAGGAGCAAGAUCCUGCCAAUAUCAAAUGGAGUGAUACUGGUGCUGAAUAUGUUGUGGAGUCCACUAGCAUCUUCACUACCAUGGAGAAGGCUGAAAUGCUCUUGAAGGGUAGAGCGAAGAGGGUCAUCAUCUCUGUGCCUUCUGCUCAUUGCAUGUUUGUGAUGAGUAUGAACUCUGAGAAGUAUAACUCCCCGCUCAAGACGGUCAGCAACACUUCCUAUACCACUAGCUGCUUCUCUGGCCAUUGUCCUCCAUGACAACUUUGGCUUUGUGGAGGGACUCAUGAUCACAGUCCAUGCCAUCAAUCCCACCCAGAAGACCGCGAUGGCCCUUCUGUGAAGCUGUGGUGUUUUGGCCAAAGGGCAGCCCAGAACAUCAUCUCUGCCUCUACCAGUGUUGCCAAGGUUGUGGGUAAGGUCAUCUCUGAGCUUAAUGGGAAGCUCACCAGCGUAUCAUUCCAUGUCCUCACCCUCAACAUGUCAGUUGUUGAUCUGACCUGAUACCUGGUGAAAACUGCCAGAUACGAGGACAUCAAGAAGGUAGUGAAGCAGAUAGUAGAGGGUUGUCUCCUGAAACUUUAAUAAUAACCCCCACUCUUUCAUCUUUGAUCCUGGGACUGACCUCAAAUACCAUUUUGUCAAGCUCAUUUCCUGGUUAUAACAAUGAAUUUAGCUAUAGAAACCGAGUGGUGGACCUUAUUGUCCACAUAGCCUAUGAGUAACAGCCCUCUGGACUAUCAGCUCUAGUAAAAGCACAAGACAGAAGCCAUCACCUAAUGGGGAGUUCUUGCCCCACUUUAUUCCCAACAUACAGAGAUUGUUCCAACCUAGAUAUCGAUGUUUCCAUUCCAGGCCUCCAAAAGAACAGGAGGGGUUUAGCAAGCCCUACUUUGUCAUAAUGCAUCAAUAAAGAACAUUGUACCCAGACAAAAAAAUAGGGAGGGGGAGAAUAAAGUAAUAUACCUAUACAUUUCAAAUAUUUAGGUAGAUAUAUGUACAUAUUGGAUAUCUGAAAAGGUUUUAUGCAUUUUAGCCCAGCCUACCUAUCAUGUGAAGAUUAAGCCUUCAGAUACUACACAUGGCUGUACUUUUUUCUGUAUAUAUUUGAUAUACUGAUGUUUCAAAGGUCAACCAAAGACAUGUCAUUCUUCAAAGAAAAACUAAAUAACAGCCUAGAAAUACAGCCUUAGAGCAAAAUAUCUACCUCAUUUUUAGGAAAGUACGAUUAUCUACCUUUUCAGCAUUAAGAUAUAUUUCCUUUCAAAUUACAUAAUCUUCUCUCACAAUAGGGAAAGCUUUUAACUUUUCCAUGUAAAGUACAAAUCCAGCAAUUUUUAAAUUAUUAUUUUAUUAAUUUAUUUUCUCAGGGAGAGAGGGAGAGGAAAAGAGAGAAUUUUAGGCAGACCUCAGUAAACACCUUUGUAUAUCAUUAGACAUAACCUACAAGCUUUUUAAGGUUUUUGAAUACAUAUUGCUCUAAGAUAGGACCUCCACUCCUAGCAUUGUAUAGGGGGCAUCAGCUCUAUUACUCUGAGUAAUACAGAACAGCAUUUACUAUUUACUAUUGUUGUUAUCAAUUUAACUGGAGAAAGGUUAUUCCAUUUUAGUUUGACUUUCCUUGAUUGCCAGUUAUAAUAAGCCUUUUUUCCACUUAUGUAUUAGCAGUUUAUAUUAGUUGCUGCUUUUUUUAUUAAGUGUCUAAAAUGCUUAUAUCAGUUAAAGCAUUUUCUGACAUUUUUUGUAUCUAACUUUCUCACUUGCCCAUAUAACAUAUCAUUGUUUACUUUGACAUAGGGAGUUUGAAAAUUAGAAGUAAUCCAAUCUAGUGAUCUCUUUCCUAACACUUUCCAUUGCUAUCAUGCUUAGAAAGCACUUUCUCACUAACAUAAAAUA
Molecule: long non-coding RNA, 2430 nt
Organism: Canis lupus familiaris (dog)
Lineage: Eukaryota; Metazoa; Chordata; Mammalia; Carnivora; Canidae
Exons: 3
Source: RefSeq, a predicted model, not a curated record